This 357-nucleotide transfer RNA is filed under the name uncultured Microcystis sp. Its description in RNAcentral is "partial 16S-23S ribosomal RNA intergenic spacer". The stretch from base 134 to 207 matches the Rfam family "tRNA". Lineage: Bacteria; Bacillati; Cyanobacteriota; Cyanophyceae; Chroococcales; Microcystaceae. The record is from RNAcentral.
AAGGGAGACCUAAUUCAGGUAUGGGACGAAAAAAAAAGUAGUCGCUACCAAGAAUCAAUCCCAAAAGGUCGGAGCGAGGUAUGAGGCUUUCAAACUAGGUUCUGGGUUCAAACAAGACCUGAAUCAGGAACAAGGGCUAUUAGCUCAGGUGGUUAGAGCGCACCCCUGAUAAGGGUGAGGUCCCUGGUUCGAGUCCAGGAUGGCCCACCUGCACAGGUGGCAAAAACAAGAGAAGCGAGGAAUCAGCACCUUAUCUUAUCUAUAUAUAAGAGAGAAUGCUGGCUCUGAGUAAAGAGUCCAGAGGAACCUUGAAAACUGCAUAGAGCUAGGUGAAAAAGCCAAAAAAGAAGACCGCAA